GACGAACGCUGGCGGCGUGCCUAAUACAUGCAAGUCGAGCGAGCUGAACCAACAGAUUCACUUCGGUGAUGACGUUGGGAACGCGAGCGGCGGAUGGGUGAGUAACACGUGGGGAACCUGCCCCAUAGUCUGGGAUACCACUUGGAAACAGGUGCUAAUACCGGAUAAGAAAGCAGAUCGCAUGAUCAGCUUAUAAAAGGCGGCGUAAGCUGUCGCUAUGGGAUGGCCCCGCGGUGCAUUAGCUAGUUGGUAGGGUAACGGCCUACCAAGGCAAUGAUGCAUAGCCGAGUUGAGAGACUGAUCGGCCACAUUGGGACUGAGACACGGCCCAAACUCCUACGGGAGGCAGCAGUAGGGAAUCUUCCACAAUGGACGAAAGUCUGAUGGAGCAACGCCGCGUGAGUGAAGAAGGUUUUCGGAUCGUAAAGCUCUGUUGUUGGUGAAGAAGGAUAGAGGUAGUAACUGGCCUUUAUUUGACGGUAAUCAACCAGAAAGUCACGGCUAACUACGUGCCAGCAGCCGCAGUAACAC
Molecule: ribosomal RNA, 531 nt
Filed under: uncultured bacterium
Lineage: Bacteria
Description: bacterial SSU rRNA
Rfam family: Bacterial small subunit ribosomal RNA
Source: RNAcentral